GACGAACGCUGGCGGCGUGCCUAAUACAUGCAAGUCGAGCGAGUCUGCCUUGAAGAUCGGAGUGCUUGCACUCUGUGAAACAAGAUACAGGCUAGCGGCGGACGGGUGAGUAACACGUGGGUAACCUGCCCAAGAGAUCGGGAUAACACCUGGAAACAGAUGCUAAUACCGGAUAACAACAGAUGAUGCCUAUCAACUGUUUAAAAGAUGGUUCUGCUAUCACUCUUGGAUGGACCUGCGGUGCAUUAGCUAGUUGGUAGGGUAACGGCCUACCAAGGCGAUGAUGCAUAGCCGAGUUGAGAGGCUGAUCGGCCACAUUGGGACUGAGACACGGCCCAAACUCCUACGGGAGGCAGCAGUAGGGAAUCUUCCACAAUGGACGCAAGUCUGAUGGAGCAACGCCGCGUGAGUGAAGAAGGGUUUCGGCUCGUAAAACUCUGUUGUUGGUGAAGAAGGACAGGGGUAGUAACUGACCUUUGUUUGGCGGUAAUCAAUUAGAAAGUCACGGCUAACUACGUG
This 519-nucleotide ribosomal RNA is filed under the name uncultured bacterium. RNAcentral describes it as "partial 16S ribosomal RNA". It matches the Rfam family "Bacterial small subunit ribosomal RNA", at positions 28 to 507 of the family's 1533-position model. The record is from RNAcentral.